GACAGAGGGUGCAAGCGUUGUUCGGAAUUACUGGGCGUAAAGGGCGUGUAGGCGGCGAAGUGUGUCCGGCGUGAAAGACCUCGGCUUAACCGAGGAAGUGCACUGGAUCCUACUUUGCUAGAGUGCGAGAGGGGAUGGCGGAAUUGUCAGUGUAGAGGUGAAAUUCGUAGAUACUGGCAGGAACACCGGGGGCGAAGGCGGCCAUCUGGAUCGCAACUGACGCUGAGACGCGAAAGCGUGGGUAGCAAACAGG
Molecule: ribosomal RNA, 253 nt
Filed under: uncultured bacterium
Lineage: Bacteria
Description: partial 16S ribosomal RNA
Rfam family: Bacterial small subunit ribosomal RNA
Source: RNAcentral